RNAcentral lists this long non-coding RNA (691 nucleotides) under Cricetulus griseus (Chinese hamster). RNAcentral describes it as "lncRNA (ENSCGRG00015032042.1)". The record is from RNAcentral. Lineage: Eukaryota; Metazoa; Chordata; Mammalia; Rodentia; Cricetidae.
CUGGGGUGGCACCUAGGGAGGCAUGGGAGUUCUGCACUGGUUCCUUGCCUCACGGGACUCUGCUUCUAAGGGUCAUUGUUCCUCUAUUAUAUUCUUCAUGAUAAAGGAGUCAUUGCAGUAGCGGUCUGUGAAUGAACUGAGCCAGAAGAGGAGAGGGUGUAGGAAGGUCAGAAGCACUAGGAAGACAACCCCCCACUUUGGUGGCUGCUGAAGUCGGAGGCUGGGGGAUCUCCACUUGCGGAUGGCCUUGGCUGGGGGAUCCAGAGUCCGAGCAGGGCUGAGAGCGCCACCUGGUGACCAAGUUUGUAAGUAAGAUGGUGGAGCUCAACAGUCAGCUUGGAGCCAAGGAACUCUUGCUGGUUAUGGGGCUACUGCCCAAUGCAGCCUGACGCAACUCCUAAUGACUGGAGGCUAUUACCCAAGGCUAGCCAAGUGCUCUAACAUUGACCUGCAGCCCCAGCCCACCCAGCUCUCUCUGCCUCCACAAAUUCAGACACAGGUCAAGCUCCAUGCCCCAGUUCUUAGCAAAACAACAACCUUCUUGGUCGCAGAUAUAUGCAAAUAGGCUUGUAUCUGUCUAGCUCCCAGCAGGACUCUUUUCUGAGAGCUACUUGGAGUUAUCCUGAUAAAAAGGACGCUUUACGGGGUUGUUAAUAUGUGUGGCUUAUUAUCUCCCAGAACCUGCUUGGCA